This 1162-nucleotide long non-coding RNA is filed under the name Gouania willdenowi (blunt-snouted clingfish). Its description in RNAcentral is "lncRNA (ENSGWIG00000006700.1)". The record is from RNAcentral. Lineage: Eukaryota; Metazoa; Chordata; Actinopteri; Blenniiformes; Gobiesocidae.
GUGAACCGGAAGUAAAACAGACACGACAAUGGAGGAGCAUAUGGGAGCAUAAUAUGAAUGUGGGACUGAUCAUGGAAGACGAUUUGGAGCGGUUCUUAGUUUGUAGAGAGGUUCCAAGAGAGGACAUAACACGAAUGAAGAGAGACAAGGUUGACAAGGCAGUGUUGCGCAUCAUGACUGAUGAGCAAAUGACAAAAUACAUAACGUCAUAUGGUGACCGAGUAGCUGUCCUAUCUUUCUGUGAACAAACACAGUGCCAUAGCACCAAUAAAGACACUCUUUUACAGAGAUUAAAAGCUAAAAUAGGGACACGCAAAAUAAAAUCAAAGACAAAAGGAUCACUGAAUGGUACCCCAGAUGAACCCCAAAAUACCAUGGCCAGACAAAGAAAUUCGGCAGGAGAGAAGACUUCAAGGAAGGUUGAAAUUGGGUGGCUUAAUUUUGGCAGUAACGGGUACAGUCAAGUACGGACCAACAGUGGUGGAGGUACAAGACAUGUUACACUGGCAAAAACAACAACUGUUGCUCAGAUCAUGGAAUUAGGAAAGGACCUAUUUUUUCCUGAUGGGCAGUCCACAAAAGGACCAGCUGAUGACUUCACGAUUGACAUUUGUGAUUUUAAAAUGAACAAAAUUCCCUUAGAUAGCACUGUUGGCCACAUGUAUGAACAAACUAAACUGAAGCUACUCAGAUUUUACAUUUGUACAAAAGAGGGAGCUUCAACAGAUCACUCCUCAUCUGAGAAAAAUGAGCUGCUUGAAGAUGGAUCUCACUCAGAUGAUUCCAUCACAGAACUGCAGGAUCAUUCACAUUCAUCUGACACUGAUGGAAGCACCCAGAUACAACCAAGAUCAAAAAGGAUAAGGGCAAUAUCUGAGAGUGAGAUGGCACAAAGUCCAGAUCCAUCACAUCCCUUUCAGUCAACCCCAACAGACAUUAAAUAUAGUGACAUUGGGCAAAGGCAAAACACAAGUGAGGUUAGUUUACCGGACCCCUUGUUUGACGAGGCAGAUACACUUCUAUGGGAUCCCGACGAUGACGUGGUGGUUAUGCAAUUUAAUCAUGCUGAGGAAGAUGAGGACGUCUCACAGGGCGCUGAGGUGAGUGAAACACCUACGCAGGUUAUACAGCUUCUAUUGCCUUCAGCUGAUGGCCUACCUAC